UUAACAGGAUUAGAUACCCUGGUAGUCCACGCCCUAAACGAUGUCUACUAGUUGUCGGGUCUUAAUUGACUUGGUAACGCAGCUAACGCGUGAAGUAGACCGCCUGGGGAGUACGGUCGCAAGAUUAAAACUCAAAGGAAUUGACGGGGACCCGCACAAGCGGUGGAUGAUGUGGAUUAAUUCGAUGCAACGCGAAAAACCUUACCUACCCUUGACAUGGAUGGAAUCCCGAAGAGAUUUGGGAGUGCUCGAAAGAGAACCAUCACACAGGUGCUGCAUGGCUGUCGUCAGCUCGUGUCGUGAGAUGUUGGGUUAAGUCCCGCAACGAGCGCAACCCUUGUCAUUAGUUGCUACGAAAGGGCACUCUAAUGAGACUGCCGGUGACAAACCGGAGGAAGGUGGGGAUGACGUA
RNAcentral lists this ribosomal RNA (412 nucleotides) under uncultured bacterium. Its description in RNAcentral is "bacterial SSU rRNA". It matches the Rfam family "Bacterial small subunit ribosomal RNA", at positions 769 to 1186 of the family's 1533-position model. The record is from RNAcentral.